RNAcentral lists this ribosomal RNA (254 nucleotides) under uncultured bacterium. Its description in RNAcentral is "partial 16S ribosomal RNA". It matches the Rfam family "Bacterial small subunit ribosomal RNA", at positions 524 to 776 of the family's 1533-position model. The record is from RNAcentral.
GACGAACCGUGCGAACGUUAUUCGGAAUCACUGGGCUUAAAGCGCGUGUAGGCGGGCGGGUACGUCGGCGACUGAAAGCCCCCGGCUCAACCGGGGAAGUGGAGCCGAAACGGCCGGUCUGGAGGGGCGUAGGGGGACCUGGAACUUCCGGUGGAGCGGUGAAAUGCGUUGAGAUCGGAAGGAACGCCCGUGGCGAAAGCGAGGUCCUGGACGCCAUCUGACGCUGAGACGCGAAAGCCAGGGGAGCGAACGGG